RNAcentral lists this ribosomal RNA (496 nucleotides) under uncultured bacterium. Its description in RNAcentral is "partial 16S ribosomal RNA". It matches the Rfam family "Bacterial small subunit ribosomal RNA", at positions 30 to 523 of the family's 1533-position model. The record is from RNAcentral.
AUUGAACGCUGGCGGAAUGCCUUACACAUGCAAGUCGAACGGUAGAGGGGGCAACCCCUCGAGAGUGGCGAACGGGUGAGUAAUAUAUCGGAACGUGCCCAGUCGUGGGGGAUAACGUAGCGAAAGUUACGCUAAUACCGCAUACGAUCUAAGGAUGAAAGCGGGGGAUCGCAAGACCUCGCGCGAUUGGAGCGGCCGAUAUCAGAUUAGGUAGUUGGUGAGGUAAAGGCUCACCAAGCCGACGAUCUGUAGCUGGUCUGAGAGGGCGACCAGCCACACUGGGACUGAGACACGGCCCAGACUCCUACGGGAGGCAGCAGUGGGGAAUUUUGGACAAUGGGCGCAAGCCUGAUCCAGCCAUUCCGCGUGCAGGACGAAGGCCUUCGGGUUGUAAACUGCUUUUGUACGGAACGAAAAGGCUCUGGUUAAUACCUGGGGCUCAUGACGGUACCGUAAGAAUAAGCACCGGCUAACUACGUGCCAGCCGCCGCGGUAA